AUGCUUGCUCCAGUAGCACAUAUACUUAAGUUGGAAUAAUAGAUUGGCAUGGCCUCUGUGCAAGAAUGACAUGCAAAUUUGUGAAGCAUUCCAUAUUUUU
RNAcentral lists this small nuclear RNA (100 nucleotides) under Pongo abelii (Sumatran orangutan). The record is from RNAcentral. Lineage: Eukaryota; Metazoa; Chordata; Mammalia; Primates; Hominidae.